AUUGAACGCUGGCGGCAGGCCUAACACAUGCAAGUCGAACGAGUGGCGGACGGGUGAGUAAUGUCUGGGAAACUGCCUGAUGGAGGGGGAUAACUACUGGAAACGGUAGCUAAUACCGCAUACCAUCGGAUGUGCCCAGAUGGGAUUAGCUUGUAGGUGGGGUAAAGGCUCACCUAGGCGACGAUCCCUAGCUGGUCUGAGAGGAUGACCAGCCACACGGGACCUGGGACACGGUCCAGACUCCACCGGGAGGCAGCAGUGGGGAUGAUUGCACAAGGGGCGCAAGCCUGAUGCAGCCAUGCCGCGUGUAUGAAGAAGGCCUUCGGGUUGUAAAGUACUUUCAGCGGGGAGGCGUUACCCGCAGAAGAAGCACCGGCUAACUCCGUGCCAGCAGCCGCGGUAAUUC
RNAcentral lists this ribosomal RNA (406 nucleotides) under uncultured bacterium. Its description in RNAcentral is "partial 16S ribosomal RNA". It matches the Rfam family "Bacterial small subunit ribosomal RNA", at positions 30 to 526 of the family's 1533-position model. The record is from RNAcentral.